RNAcentral lists this ribosomal RNA (460 nucleotides) under uncultured bacterium. RNAcentral's name for it is "partial 16S ribosomal RNA". It matches the Rfam family "Bacterial small subunit ribosomal RNA", at positions 338 to 795 of the family's 1533-position model. The record is from RNAcentral.
CCUACGGGAGGCAGCAGUGAGGAAUAUUGGUCAAUGGACGAGAGUCUGAACCAGCCAAGUAGCGUGAAGGAUGACUGCCCUAUGGUUUGUAAACUUCUUUUAUAUGGGAAUAAAAUGUUCCACGUGUGGGAUUUUGUAUGUACCAUAUGAAUAAGGAUCGGCUAACUCCGUGCCAGCAGCCGCGGUAAUACGGAGGAUCCGAGCGUUUUCCGGAUUUAUUGGGUUUAAAGGGAGCGUAGGUGGAUUGUUAAGUCAGUUGUGAAAGUUUGCGGCUCAACCGUAAAAUUGCAGUUGAAACUGGCAGUCUUGAGUACAGUAGAGGUGGGCGGAAUUCGUGGUGUAGCGGUGAAAUGCUUAGAUAUCACGAAGAACUCCGAUUGCGAAGGCAGUUCACUGGACUGCAACUGACACUGAGGCUCGAAAGUGUGGGUAUCAAACAGGAUUAGAUACCCCUGUAGUC